This 253-nucleotide ribosomal RNA is filed under the name uncultured bacterium. Its description in RNAcentral is "partial 16S ribosomal RNA". It matches the Rfam family "Bacterial small subunit ribosomal RNA", at positions 524 to 776 of the family's 1533-position model. The record is from RNAcentral.
UACGAAGGGGGCUAGCGUUGCUCGGAAUUACUGGGCGUAAAGGGCGCGUAGGCGGACAGUUUAGUCAGAGGUGAAAGCCCAGGGCUCAACCUUGGAAUUGCCUUUGAUACUGGCCGUCUUGAGUUCGGGAGAGGUGAGUGGAAUGCCGAGUGUAGAGGUGAAAUUCGUAGAUAUUCGGCGGAACACCAGUGGCGAAGGCGACUCACUGGCCCGAUACUGACGCUGAGGCGCGAAAGCGUGGGGAGCAAACAGG